UACGUGCCAGCAGCCGCGGUAAUACGUAGGUGGCAAGCGUUGUCCGGAAUUAUUGGGCGUAAAGGGCGCGCAGGCGGCGUCGUAAGUCGGUCUUAAAAGUGCGGGGCUUAACCCCGUGAGGGGACCGAAACUGCGAUGCUAGAGUAUCGGAGAGGAAAGCGGAAUUCCUAGUGUGGCGGUGAAAUGCGUAGAUAUUAGGAGGAACACCAGUGGCGAAAGCGGCUUUCUGGACGACAACUGACGCUGAGGCGCGAAAGCCAGGGGAGCAAACGGGAUUAGAUACCCCGGUAGUCCUGGCCGUAAACGAUGGAUACUAGGUGUAGGAGGUAUCGACCCCUUCUGUGCCGGAGUUAACGCAAUAAGUAUCCCGCCUGGGGAGUACGGCCGCAAGGCUGCAACUCAAAGGAAUUGACGGAAUCACUAGUGAA
RNAcentral lists this ribosomal RNA (428 nucleotides) under uncultured organism. Its description in RNAcentral is "bacterial SSU rRNA". It matches the Rfam family "Bacterial small subunit ribosomal RNA", at positions 502 to 933 of the family's 1533-position model. The record is from RNAcentral.